RNAcentral lists this ribosomal RNA (365 nucleotides) under Lysobacter defluvii IMMIB APB-9 = DSM 18482. Its description in RNAcentral is "bacterial LSU rRNA". It matches the Rfam family "Bacterial large subunit ribosomal RNA", at positions 2583 to 2925 of the family's 2925-position model. Lineage: Bacteria; Pseudomonadati; Pseudomonadota; Gammaproteobacteria; Lysobacterales; Lysobacteraceae. The record is from RNAcentral.
GCCAUUUAAAGUGGUACGCGAGCUGGGUUUAGAACGUCGUGAGACAGUUCGGUCCCUAUCUGCCGUGGGCGUUGGAAGAUUGAGAGGGGUUGCUCCUAGUACGAGAGGACCGGAGUGAACGCACCACUGGUGUUCGGGUUGUCAUGCCAAUGGCAUUGCCCGGUAGCUAAGUGCGGAAAAGAUAAGCGCUGAAAGCAUCUAAGCGCGAAACUUGCCUCAAGAUGAGUCUUCCCUGGACCUUUAAGGUCCCUGAAGGAACGUUUAAGACUAAGACGUUGAUAGGCUGGGUGUGUAAGUGCAGCGAUGCAUUGAGCUAACCAGUACUAAUGAUCCGUGAGGCUUAACCUUACAACACCGAAGGUGUU